GGCAGACAAUGUAAUAGAGCAGCAGGAAAUGCUAGCAAAAUGCUUGGUUGUAUAGGGAGAGGUUUUAGCAGUAGAAAGAGGGAAGAGGGAAGUGCUCAUGCCAUUGUACAGAACACUGGUGAGACCUCACUUGGAGUAUUGUACACAGUACUGGAGACCGUAUCUUCAGAAGGAUAUUGAUACCUUAGAGAGGGUUCAGAGAAGGGCUACUAAACUGGUUCAUGG
Pelobates cultripes (western spadefoot toad) is the source of this 225-nucleotide non-coding RNA. The record is from the annotation of a GenBank genome assembly. NCBI's taxonomy places the organism in Eukaryota, Metazoa, Chordata, Amphibia, Anura, Pelobatidae.